GAGAGAAAUCGGAGUUUGAAGUUCGGGAUCGAAAAUCUCGGUUUUUCACCGAUUUUGGGUUGCCGUUUUUGAGAGAACGACCUAUCGAACGUUAACGAUUCAAGGUGUCAUUUGUCAGUAGACGAGUGAAUGAAGAAAUACGGGACUAUGUUUUUGAAUCAUGC
This is a long non-coding RNA of Cynara cardunculus var. scolymus (artichoke), 164 nucleotides long. RefSeq lists it as uncharacterized. The record is from RefSeq and is a predicted model, not a curated record. Lineage: Eukaryota; Viridiplantae; Streptophyta; Magnoliopsida; Asterales; Asteraceae. The transcript is spliced from 3 exons.